Molecule: ribosomal RNA, 377 nt
Filed under: uncultured bacterium
Lineage: Bacteria
Description: bacterial SSU rRNA
Rfam family: Bacterial small subunit ribosomal RNA
Source: RNAcentral
AUUGAACGCUGGCGGAAUGCUUUACACAUGCAAGUCGAGCGGCAGCGCGGGGCAACCUGGCGGCGAGCGGCGAACGGGUGAGUAAUGCAUCGGAACGUACCCCGUCGUGGGGAAUAACUACCCGAAAGGGUAGCUAAUACCGCAUACGACCUGAGGGUGAAAGCGGGGGACCGAAAGGCCUCGCGCGAUGGGAGCGGCCGAUGCCGGAUUAGCUAGUUGGUAGGGUAAAGGCCUACCAAGGCGACGAUCCGUAGCUGGUCUGAGAGGACGACCAGCCACACUGGAACUGAGACACGGUCCAGACUCCUACGGGAGGCAGCAGUGGGGAAUUUUGGACAAUGGCGAAAGCCUGAUCCAGCCAUUCCGCGUGAGUGAAG